This 142-nucleotide ribosomal RNA is filed under the name Streptocarpus dunnii. RNAcentral describes it as "partial 18S ribosomal RNA". It matches the Rfam family "Eukaryotic small subunit ribosomal RNA", at positions 1694 to 1831 of the family's 1831-position model. The record is from RNAcentral. Lineage: Eukaryota; Viridiplantae; Streptophyta; Magnoliopsida; Lamiales; Gesneriaceae. RNAcentral also lists the same sequence under 1 other name.
UGGUCCGGUGAAGUGUUCGGAUCGCUCCGACGUGGGCGGUUCGCUGCCCGCGACGUAGCGAGAAGUCCACUGAACCUUAUCAUUUAGAGGAAGGAGAAGUCGUAACAAGGUUUCCGUAGGUGAACCUGCGGAAGGAUCAUUG